CUGUUGGGCUCCUCUUAGGACAGAAAAGCUGUGGGGGAGAGGAAGGAAAUGUUUCCUUGACAACAGAAUCUUGUUUUAUUGGCAUAGCAGCUUGAUGGCUUCCAGCUUUCUGCACCAACUUUUCCUGGGCUCCAGAUGGGCUGCCAAAAA
Notechis scutatus (mainland tiger snake) is the source of this 150-nucleotide non-coding RNA. NCBI's taxonomy places the organism in Eukaryota, Metazoa, Chordata, Lepidosauria, Squamata, Elapidae. The record is from RefSeq and is a predicted model, not a curated record.